CUCAUCGUCAUCAUCAGGAAGGGGCUGGCUAGCAGCAGCAGCAAGCUCCGCUUCAUGUUGUUGCUGUGCAGCCAAAUCAAUUUGCACUUCUGGUGGAGCGAGCGCAGGAGACUCAACAAAGUGCAAGUUAGGAUCCCCAGCAAGCUUCCUGGCAAGGUACAGGAAAGGCUUCUCAAAGUUGUAAUUACUCUUAGCUGAUAUUUCAUAGUACUGCAAGUUCUUUUUCCUGUGGAAAGUAAC
This is a non-coding RNA of Sesamum indicum (sesame), 240 nucleotides long. NCBI's taxonomy places the organism in Eukaryota, Viridiplantae, Streptophyta, Magnoliopsida, Lamiales, Pedaliaceae. The record is from RefSeq and is a predicted model, not a curated record.